UCUACCUCAGCCAAGCACUGGUUUCUUUUGGUGGGUAGGCAGAUUAUGGUUGACAUCCUAGCACCAUGAGAAAUCAGUACUAGGAGAGGUCUG
RNAcentral lists this microRNA precursor (93 nucleotides) under Rhodnius prolixus. Its description in RNAcentral is "microRNA miR-29b precursor". The stretch from base 12 to 83 matches the Rfam family "mir-29 microRNA precursor family". Rfam says of the family: This family represents the microRNA (miRNA) precursors mir-29. Animal miRNAs are transcribed as ~70nt precursors and subsequently processed by the Dicer enzyme to give a ~22nt product. The record is from RNAcentral. Lineage: Eukaryota; Metazoa; Arthropoda; Insecta; Hemiptera; Reduviidae.